This 849-nucleotide ribosomal RNA is filed under the name Hypotrachyna pulvinata. Its description in RNAcentral is "eukaryotic LSU rRNA". It matches the Rfam family "Eukaryotic large subunit ribosomal RNA", at positions 71 to 936 of the family's 3401-position model. Lineage: Eukaryota; Fungi; Ascomycota; Lecanoromycetes; Lecanorales; Parmeliaceae. The record is from RNAcentral.
GGGAUUGCCUCAGUAACGGCGAGUGAAGCGGCAACAGCUCAAAUUUGAAAUCUGGCCCCUUCGGGGUCCGAGUUGUAAUUUGUAGAGAGUGUUUCGGGUGAGACCACGGUCUAAGUCUAUUGGAACAUUACGUCAUAGAGGGUGAGAACCCCGUAUGCGACCGUGGCUCGAGCCCAUGUGAAGCCUCUUCGACGAGUCGAGUUGUUUGGGAAUGCAGCUCAAAAUGGGUGGUAAAUUUCAUCUAAAGCUAAAUACUGGCUGGAGACCGAUAGCGCACAAGUAGAGUGAUCGAAAGAUGAAAAGCACUUUGGAAAGAGAGUCAAACAGUACGUGAAAUUGUUGAAAGGGAAGCGCUGGCAACCAGACCUGUCCGUAGGCGAUCAGCCGCUGUUCUCAGCGGUGCACUCGUUCUGCGAUCAGGCCAGCAUCGGUUUCGGCGGUCGGAUAAAGGCCCGGGGAACGUAGCUCCCUCCCGGGGGAGUGUUAUAGCCCCGGGCGCAAUGCGGCCAGCCGGGACCGAGGACCGCGCUUCGGCUAGGAUGCUGGCGUAAUGGUUGUCAGCGACCCGUCUUGAAACACGGACCAAGGAGUCUAACAUCUAUGCGAGUGUUUGGGUGUCAAACCCAUGCGCGGAAUGAAAGUGAACGGAGGUGAGAACCCUUUAGGGCGCAUCAUCGACCGAUCCAGAUGUUUUCGGAUGGAUUUGAGUAUGAGCAUAGCUGUUGGGACCCGAAAGAUGGUGAACUAUGCCUGAAUAGGGUGAAGCCAGAGGAAACUCUGGUGGAGGCUCGCAGCGGUUCUGACGUGCAAAUCGAUCGUCAAAUUUGGGUAUAGGGGCGAAAGACUAUC